This 324-nucleotide long non-coding RNA is filed under the name Lupinus angustifolius (narrow-leaved blue lupine). RNAcentral describes it as "long non-coding RNA (LANG_LNC001200)". The record is from RNAcentral. Lineage: Eukaryota; Viridiplantae; Streptophyta; Magnoliopsida; Fabales; Fabaceae.
UCUACUUAUUUAACUCUCUAGAGCGUGUUAGGAUCAAUAAUGAUAUUUUAACACUAUUUUUUCACUUCAAAUUUACACAUUCUUUGGGAAAAAAUAAUGUAAUUAUGUGUGAAAUUUGAUAACUAAAAAGGUGAGAUAACCAUUUUCCUGUUAGGAGUGAGAUUCCAAGAAAGUUAAGUGAAGAAAAUUGAUCCCUUGGUAAUUGGUAUGUAGAGAAAUGUAGAUGAGGAUGUCAAGGAGGCUGAGGGGUGGAACCAAAUAAAGCUUUGAUCUUGGAUUAUUGUAUCAUCGUCACUUCUCAUUGGCCAUGAUGGUAAAUGGGUG